GAUGAAGAACGCAGUGAAAUGCGAUACGUAAUGUGAAUUGCAGAAUUCAGUGAAUCAUCGAAUCUUUGAACGCACAUUGCGCCCGCCAGCAUUCUGGCGGGCAUGCCUGUCCGAGCGUCAUUUCAACCCUCAGGGUCCCCCCGCCUCGCGCGGUCGGAGCCUGGUGUUGGGGAUCGGCCCGCCCCGCGCGGCGCCGUCCCCCAAAUACAGUGGCGGUCCCGCCGCAGCCUCCCCUGCGCAGUAGUUAUCAACUCGCACUGGAGCGCGGCGCGGCCACGCCGUAAAACCCCCGACUUUCAGAAAGUUGACCUCGGAUCAGGUAGGAAUACCCGCUGAACUUAAGCAUAUCAAUAAGCGGAGGA
This 362-nucleotide unclassified non-coding RNA is filed under the name soil metagenome. Its description in RNAcentral is "partial contains 5.8S ribosomal RNA, internal transcribed spacer 2, and large subunit ribosomal RNA". The stretch from base 1 to 120 matches the Rfam family "5.8S ribosomal RNA", at positions 35 to 154 of the family's 154-position model. The record is from RNAcentral.